RNA transcript from Telopea speciosissima, 2147 nucleotides. It is a transcript of the gene named DEAD-box ATP-dependent RNA helicase 8-like, with no coding region annotated. The transcript has 10 exons. NCBI's taxonomy places the organism in Eukaryota, Viridiplantae, Streptophyta, Magnoliopsida, Proteales, Proteaceae. The record is from RefSeq and is a predicted model, not a curated record.
CAUUGAUCCUCUUUUAAGUGGACGUUGUCUUCACUGCGUGGAAAGCGAAUUUCCCCCCCUUUUUAAAGUUUUUUGUAAACUUUGUUGGUUACAUUAAUCUCAGAUCAUCGGUUUCAGCAGCUCGAGUAAUUCUUAGGAGUUGAGGCUAGAAAUAUUUUCACUCGGGCUCGAAAAUGGCGUUUUUGGUUCGUGAUUUAAGCCUAAUUCAGAGAUUUUUCAAUUCAAGUCCCUCUUGAAUCUUAGCUAUAUCUGACGUGCUGUUGGUGAUUUGAGGAUUCUUUGCCGGCGAUUUGUUUGAUAUCUGCAUCUUCCUCUUUUUUUUUUGAUCUGGAAGUGAAAAUCUCAGUUAGGUUCGUUCGGUUCUUCCUCUGAUGAAUACACGAGGCAGGUAUCCACCCGGGAUCGGCAACGGUCGUGGUGGAAAUGUAUACUCAAACCCUAACUUUCAAGCUCGAAACCCUCAGCAACAGUACGUGCAGAGGAAUAUUGUCCAAAAUCAGCAGCAGUUUCAGCAACAACAAUGGCUUAGACGGAAUCCGAUGGGAAACGAUUCUAGUUAUAAUGAGGUUGAAAAAGCAGUGCAGUCAGAAGCCGUUGAUUCUAGUUCUCAAGACUGGAAGGCACACCUCAAGAUACCGACACCUGAUACACGCUACAAGACAGAGGAUGUGACUGCUACUAAAGGAAAUGAAUUUGAGGACUAUUUUCUGAAGCGUGAAUUGCUUAUGGGAAUUUAUGAGAAGGGUUUUGAAAGGCCAUCUCCCAUCCAGGAAGAAAGUAUUCCGAUUGCCUUGACUGGUAGCGAUAUUCUUGCUAGAGCUAAAAAUGGAACGGGGAAAACAGCUGCAUUUUGCAUUCCUGCACUGGAAAAAAUUGAUCAAGACAAUAAUGUUAUUCAAGUUGUUAUAUUGGUUCCGACACGAGAAUUGGCUUUGCAGACAUCACAAGUCUGUAAGGAGCUUGGGAAGCAUUUAAAGAUUCAAGUCAUGGUUACUACAGGAGGAACUAGCUUAAAGGAUGAUAUCAUGCGUUUAUAUCAACCUGUCCAUUUGCUUGUUGGAACACCUGGCAGAAUACUUGAUCUUGCAAGAAAAGGUGUUUGCAUCCUGAAAGAUUGCUCAAUGCUUGUUAUGGAUGAGGCGGACAAGCUUUUGUCUCCAGAAUUCCAACCUUCAGUUGAGCAGCUAAUUCGUUUUCUGCAUGCAAACCGACAAAUUUUGAUGUUUUCAGCUACAUUUCCUGUAAUGGUGAAGGAUUUUAAAGACAGAUUUUUACACAAGCCUUACAUUAUCAAUCUCAUGGACGAGCUUACUCUCAAGGGUAUAACACAAUACUAUGCUUUUGUAGAAGAAAGACAAAAGGUCCACUGCCUAAACACUCUUUUCUCCAAGCUUCAAAUCAACCAGUCAAUUAUAUUUUGCAACUCAGUGAAUCGGGUAGAACUGUUGGCUAAGAAGAUUACAGAGCUUGGGUAUUCUUGCUUCUAUAUUCAUGCUAAGAUGUUGCAAGAUCAUCGAAACCGCGUAUUUCAUGACUUCAGAAAUGGUGCUUGCAGGAAUCUUGUUUGUACUGAUUUAUUUACAAGGGGGAUAGACAUUCAAGCAGUCAAUGUCGUCAUUAACUUUGACUUCCCCAAGAACUCAGAGACAUACCUGCAUAGGGUUGGUCGAUCGGGUAGGUUUGGACAUCUUGGAUUAGCUGUUAAUUUGAUCACCUAUGAGGACCGCUUCAACUUGUACAGGAUUGAACAAGAGCUUGGGACUGAAAUAAAGCAAAUUCCUCCACAAAUAGACCAGGCUAUUUACUGCAGGUGACAUGUGGUGGUAAUCUCUCCCUCAACAAUGAUGAGUAAAAGCAAAGAUCUGGCUGGUGUACACACCGAGGAAUAUAAAGGUUGGGUAAGCUUCCUGUACCAGGAGGUAUAUCUUUAGGCUGGAUCCUCAUGAUUCAUGGUUGUCUCCUGUACGUCUGAGCUUGUAGAUUUACAUAAUGCUGAGACAUACAUUAGGCUGUAAGAAGCAGCCAGCUUUAGAAUGGUUUAUAAUCCAGAGGAUUGGAUCUCUUAUGCUGGAUUAACGUAACAAUUCUGUGCUUUAGUACCAAGCAUAUUUUUGGUGCUCUUUUUAUCUAUGGAUUUGUCAUUUUCC